UGUGAGUAGCGAAAGACGGGUGAGAAUCCCGUCCACCGAUUGACUAAGGUUUCCAGAGGAAGGCUCGUCCGCUCUGGGUUAGUCGGGUCCUAAGCCGAGGCCGACAGGCGUAGGCGAUGGAUAACAGGUUGAUAUUCCUGUACCACCUAUAAUCGUUUUAAUCGAUGGGGGGACGCAGUAGGAUAGGCGAAGCGUGCGAUUGGAUUGCACGUCUAAGCAGUAAGGCUGAGUAUUAGGCAAAUCCGGUACUCGUUAAGGCUGAGCUGUGAUGGGGAGAAGACAUUGAGUCUUCGAGUCGUUGAUUUCACACUGCCGAGAAAAGCCUCUAGAUAGAAAAUAGGUGCCCGUACCGCAAACCGACACAGGUAGUCAAGAUGAGAAUUCUAAGGUGAGCGAGCGAACUCUCGUUAAGGAACUCGGCAAAAUGACCCCGUAACUUCGGGAGAAGGGGUGCUCUUUAGGGUUAACGCCCAGAAGAGCCGCAGUGAAUAGGCCCAAGCGACUGUUUAUCAAAAACACAGGUCUCUGCUAAACCGUAAGGUGAUGUAUAGGGGCUGACGCCUGCCCGGUGCUGGAAGGUUAAGAGGAGUGGUUAGCUUCUGCGAAGCUACGAAUCGAAGCCCCAGUAAACGGCGGCCGUAACUAUAACGGUCCUAAGGUAGCGAAAUUCCUUGUCGGGUAAGUUCCGACCCGCACGAAAGGCGUAACGAUUUGGGCACUGUCUCAACGAGAGACUCGGUGAAAUCAUAGUACCUGUGAAGAUGCAGGUUACCCGCGACAGGACGGAAAGACCCCGUGGAGCUUUACUGUAGCCUGAUAUUGAAAUUCGGCACAGCUUGUACAGGAUAGGUAGGAGCCUUUGAAACGUGAGCGCUAGCUUACGUGGAGGCGCUGGUGGGAUACUACCCUAGCUGUGUUGGCUUUCUAACCCGCACCACUUAUCGUGGUGGGAGACAGUGUCAAGCGGGCAGUUUGACUGGGGCGGUCGCCUCCUAAAAGGUAACGGAGGCGCUCAAAGGUUCCCUCAGAAUGGUUGGAAAUCAUUCAUAGAGUGUAAAGGCAUAAGGGAGCUUGACUGCGAGACCUACAAGUCGAGCAGGGUCGAAAGACGGACUUAGUGAUCCGGUGGUUCCGCAUGGAAGGGCCAUCGCUCAACGGAUAAAAGCUACCCCGGGGAUAACAGGCUUAUCUCCCCCAAGAGUUCACAUCGACGGGGAGGUUUGGCACCUCGAUGUCGGCUCAUCGCAUCCUGGGGCUGUAGUCGGUCCCAAGGGUUGGGCUGUUCGCCCAUUAAAGCGGUACGCGAGCUGGGUUCAGAACGUCGUGAGACAGUUCGGUCCCUAUCCGUCGUGGGCGUAGGAAAUUUGAGAGGAGCUGUCCUUAGUACGAGAGGACCGGGAUGGACAUACCUCUGGUGUACCAGUUGUCGUGCCAACGGCAUAGCUGGGUAGCUAUGUGUGGACGGGAUAAGUGCUGAAAGCAUCUAAGCAUGAAGCCCCCCUCAAGAUGAGAUUUCCCAACUUCGGUUAUAAGAUCCCUCAAAGAUGAUGAGGUUAAUAGGUUCGAGGUGGAAGCAUGGUGACAUGUGGAGCUGACGAAUACUAAUCGAUCGAAGACUUAAUCAA
This 1625-nucleotide ribosomal RNA is filed under the name Staphylococcus aureus M0701. RNAcentral's name for it is "bacterial LSU rRNA". It matches the Rfam family "Bacterial large subunit ribosomal RNA", at positions 1301 to 2925 of the family's 2925-position model. Lineage: Bacteria; Bacillati; Bacillota; Bacilli; Caryophanales; Staphylococcaceae. The record is from RNAcentral.